Molecule: ribosomal RNA, 520 nt
Filed under: uncultured archaeon
Lineage: Archaea
Description: bacterial SSU rRNA
Rfam family: Archaeal small subunit ribosomal RNA
Source: RNAcentral
ACGGGGUGCAGCAGGCGCGAAAACUUCGCAAUGCGGGAAACCGCGACGAGGGAACUCCAAGUGCCAUGCAAUUUGUAUGGCUGUUUCCAUGUCUAAAAAACAUGGAGAGUAAGGGCUGGGUAAGACUGGUGCCAGCCGCCGCGGUAAUACCAGCAGCUCAAGUGGUGAUCCUUUUUAUUGGGCCUAAAGCGUCCGUAGCCGGUCUAGUAAAUCCUUGGGUAAAUCGUACCGCUUAACGGUACGAACUCUGGGGAGACUGCUAGACUUGGGACUGGGAGAGGUCGGAGGUACUCCAGGGGUAGGGGUGAAAUCCUGUGAUCCUUGGGGGACCACCAGUGGCGAAGGCGUCCGACUAGAACGGAUCCGACGGUGAGGGACGAAGCCCUGGGGCACAAACCGGAUUAGAUACCCGGGUAGUCCAGGGUGUAAACGCUGCGAGCUUGGUGUUGGGGGUCCUACGAGGGCGCCCAGUGCCGGAGAGAAGUUGUUUAGCUCGCCGCCUGGGAGUACGAUCGCAAGA